UUGAAUCAAUAGUAAGUAAGAAGCUGGUUGUGGCACUUUCGGAAUAGAAUGCCCUCUUUACAAGGGAAAGGGAUUCAGCAACUAGAGCAACAGUUUGAUCCCCUUGGAUUGAAGAACAAAUGUCAGGGAGAGUCCCCUCAAGUCAAUCUCUGAUUAAGGGAAACCUUGAGAAGUACUUUCCCAAUAGCUAUCCUCAUAGGAAUGCCUGUUUGUAUGGUGAAAAUGGUCGAGAUAUCCGCAGCAUUCUAAGUGAAUGGAAAGUCUCUUGGGUGGUUCGAAUCCACGUCGUGGUAAAGCCAGGCUUUUAUCUAUUCGUAGAUGUCGGGGAAUUGGGUACUUCCCUUGACGAGGGAAACUAACGGGUACCAAUUCACCAAUCUCUAGCUUUCCUGAGCAGAAGCUCUUCCGGCCUGAUGCGUCGGUACAUAAUUGACCUGGGUUUCCGUUCGACUUACUUGGCGUUGAAGGAAGCUCAUUUGGAGGUGUGAGGACAUUUUUUUAUGAACAAUUUGCCUAAAUGACCAGUUCAGUUAAAGAAGGACUUUAGUUACAACCUAAUUUUUUUUCUUAGCCCCACUCUCGAGUAAUUGGCCCCAGUCUGCUUUAGCCCUCUGACUAGUACUUUUUUAUAUUAUGGGUUUGGAACAUAUUAGACAGGGGUUCUCGAGCUCGAGGAUGCUGCUUCAUCGCGCGGACUCGAGAACAAUCGGCUAGAAUUGCGAAAUCAUCCUAAACGAGCGCUAGUUCGGUCCACCCUUACCUGCCUCUUUAGGUUCCCUGGUUGCGAAUCUAAUCAUAGAAUGAAGGUCCGUUUGAAGAAGGGUUCGUGCUCUACCCUUCUGGAAUUCCCUAAAACGUCGUUUCGGGCUCCCACUGGCGCUAUUUAGCCCUUGAACCGCGACCCGCCCAAGUCCCCGAGGAGACUAUUCGCGGCAUUUUCUUUUCUGAGAACAUAAAAGGUAGGAAUUGAUGGAUUCCAUAGUUUUAUAUUCUAGUUUCCGGUUAUGUCUCCGAGCUGGAUUCUUUUUAUUUAAACCUA
RNAcentral lists this long non-coding RNA (1039 nucleotides) under Fragaria vesca (wild strawberry). RNAcentral's name for it is "long non-coding RNA (FVES_LNC005320)". The record is from RNAcentral. Lineage: Eukaryota; Viridiplantae; Streptophyta; Magnoliopsida; Rosales; Rosaceae.